AACUUCCCCUGCACUCUAAUUAAUUGGCAGCUUCCAAAUGUUUGGAGCCAAACAUCAACAUAAGAAAUACUGCUAAUUAAUUUAGUGUAGAAGUAAUGAAGGAAGAGGGCAAUUUCAUUAAACUAUGACAACUGUACAGAGAAGUUAUGUAGAAAAAUGAAAAAUCACAAGCUCAAUCACAUGGAAAAAGCAGAAGAAGCCCGCCAAAGAGAAGCCAGUGAUGGAGAGGAAGUACAGAGGAGUGGGGAAAAUAUGGUGCAAAGAUCAGGGAUUCGAAAAGGCAAUGCAUCCUGAUUUGGCUUGGAAUAUUUAACUCUUCGGAAGCAACCAUUCUCAACUUGGCUUUGAUUUGGCUAAUGACCAAGCUACCUCCACUAUGAGAGGCUCUCAGGCUAUUCUCAACUUCGCUAAUUAUUUUGUGGGUAGAUCACUCAAAGAAACCCAAACAAUGGAUCCGUUAGAAUCAAAUUUGCACCGUUGAGUAGAAUUUGCACCGUUUAAAAAAAAUGCAGUGUCGUUGUAGAAAAAGCAGUGCCGUUCAGAAAAAAGCAGUGUCGUUUUAGAAAAAGCAGUGCCGUUAAGAAAAAAACAGCGUCGUUCUAGAAAAAGCAGUGCCGUUAAGAUAAAAACAGUGUCGUUAAGGUUUAAGGAAUUCGAAAUUAGGAGGAGUUAUAAAUAGCUGCGAAGAGAACUGUAUUAUUCAUUCCCUUCCAUCUUUUAUUGAUGUUUUCCUUCUGUGAAUGUCCUUUUUUCAUCAUUCUCGGUUUGCAGAGAAUGCUCUUUUUUUUUUUGACUUCCGUUGUGAAUGUUCGUCUUAUUUUACAUAUGUUUUGUUUCCUUUUCUGGGAAUGUCCGUUUUUGUCAAUGUUGUGUGCGCACUGUUCUGUCUACUUGUGUUGUUUUUCUGUACAAUUUAUUUUUUGUGGUGUUAUGUUAUUUUUCUCCCCUUGUAUUUUGUUGCGGACUUUUUCAUAGUGGCAGCAAAAAAGAGGCAGAGAAGAGGAGGUGAUAACACAGGAUGAGAAGAGGCAAAGAAGAGGAGACGACAACACAGGAUGCUAUGUUAAUAUUGUUGUACUGCUUUAGUCAGCGACUAUGAGUCCAUUUUCUGUAAGCAUGUGUUUUCAUCCCUGCUGUGAAUGUCCAUUAGACUUCUUUGUCAAUGUUUUGUUGCAAAAGAUGAGGCAGAGAAGAGGCGGCAACACAGGAAUGAGAAGAGACAGAGAAGAGGAGGCGGCAACACAAAUAUGAGAAAGGCAGAAUUCUUCUUAUUAUUACCAGGUGGGCUACAGGUUGACAGAUUGACACAUCCAGGCAUCCUAAUUGUGUUGCAGACCCUACAUGGUGGUGCCACUGGGGAUCGUGAAGUAAGGUUAAAAUUAUAAAUUUUGUUUUAACUUUUUGGUUUGUUGAUUAUUUUGUUGUCUAGUCAGGGGGCAUCCAAUUCGUAGUCCUUGGGACGGAGUUUGUGUACUGAUAGGGCCUUGACCUUUUAUCUGUGAGAUAUUUUAUUUUAUUUUUCCUGCUAAUUAAUAAGACUGUCACCAAAUUAAUGUGCAUCACAUUGAAGUCAAGAUGGGAUGCCUUAUGUAUUGUUUGAGGGAGUUUUGAAGUUGAUCUAGCUCUUCUAUCUUCAGUUGAUAUGAUCAUAGUUUGCGUAGAACUAAGCUGGUGGUCACAUGAAUGACAAGUGCAGAUGAAAAGUGAAUAUAAGUGUUGAAAAGCAUGUGAAAACAUCAUGUGCAUUUUCACUUACCUGUAAAUUGCCAUAAUUUUGUCACAUGGAGUUUCUAUUCAUGGCAUUCUAUUUUCGUGUGGAAUCCAAGACUGUAAAUAAGAUUGUCUUUGAAGGAAUAUUUAUGUUCUGUCAAAGUCAGAAAAAUUUAUAGGCUGGUUUAGCUUUACUUGUUUCUAUUGUAAAAGAUUUGUCGUAUUGGCAAAGAUUAUACAUUCAUUAAAGAGCUCCAUAAUGAAGAUUAUGUGUAAAGAUGUUUGCUG
Long non-coding RNA from Cryptomeria japonica (Japanese cedar), 1998 nucleotides. RefSeq lists it as uncharacterized. The record is from RefSeq and is a predicted model, not a curated record. The transcript has 3 exons. Lineage: Eukaryota; Viridiplantae; Streptophyta; Pinopsida; Cupressales; Cupressaceae.